CCACUUCGGUGGAGGUACAGUGGCGGAAGGGCGAGUAAUGCGUUUCUAACGUACCCCCGAAGCGAGGGUAUAGCAGUGGGAAACCGCUGGUAAUACCUCAUGAAGCCGUGUCUUCGCAUGGAGACACGGUGAAAGGCUUGCCACUCGGGGAGCGGGGAACGUCCUAUCAGCUAGUUGGUGAGGUAAUGGCUCACCAAGGCUUAGACGGGUAGCGGGUGUGAGAGCACGACCCGCCGCAUCGGGACUGAGACACUGCCCGGACUCCUACGGGAGGCUGCAGUAACGAAUAUUCCGCAAUGCGCGAAAGCGUGACGGAGCAAUGCCGCGUGAAGGAUGAAGCCCCUCGGGGUGUAAACUUCUGUCAGAGGCUANGAAUUCAUGACCAACCUC
Molecule: ribosomal RNA, 390 nt
Filed under: uncultured Planctomycetota bacterium
Lineage: Bacteria; Pseudomonadati; Planctomycetota
Description: bacterial SSU rRNA
Rfam family: Bacterial small subunit ribosomal RNA
Source: RNAcentral